UCCAUGCCGUAAACGAUGGGUACUAGGUGUUGGAGGAUUCUACCCCUUCAGUGCCGCAGCUAACGCAUUAAGUACCCCACCUGGGGAGUACGAUCGCAAGGUUGAAACUCAAAGGAAUUGACGGGGGCCCGCACAAGCGGUGGAGCAUGUGGUUUAAUUCGAUGCAACGCGAAGAACCUUACCUGGGCUUGACAUGCAGGGGACAGAUGUAGAAAUACAUCCUUCUUCGGACUCCUGUACAGGUGCUGCAUGGCUGUCGUCAGCUCGUGUCGUGAAAUGUUGGGUUAAGUCCCG
RNAcentral lists this ribosomal RNA (294 nucleotides) under uncultured bacterium. RNAcentral's name for it is "partial 16S ribosomal RNA". It matches the Rfam family "Bacterial small subunit ribosomal RNA", at positions 794 to 1089 of the family's 1533-position model. The record is from RNAcentral.